Molecule: ribosomal RNA, 903 nt
Filed under: uncultured bacterium
Lineage: Bacteria
Description: bacterial SSU rRNA
Rfam family: Bacterial small subunit ribosomal RNA
Source: RNAcentral
GUAGGUGGUGUGUCGCGUNGUCUGUGAAAUUCCGGGGCUUAACUCCGGGCGUGCAGGCGAUACGGGCACGACUAGAGUGCUGUAGGGGUAACUGGAAUUCCUGGUGUAGCGGUGAAAUGCGCAGAUAUCAGGAGGAACACCGAUGGCGAGGGCAGGUUACUGGGCAGUUACUGACGCUGAGGAGCGAAAGCAUGGGGAGCGAACAGGAUUAGAUACCCUGGUAGUCCAUGCUGUAAACGGUGGGCGCUAGGUGUGGGCUGUGUGUUUGCAGUCUGUGCCGUAGCUAACGCAUUAAGCGCCCCGCCUGGGGAGUACGGCCGCAAGGCUAAAACUCAAAGGAAUUGACGGGGGCCCGCACAAGCGGCGGAGCAUGUGGAUUAAUUCGAUGCAACGCGAAGAACCUUACCUGGAUUUGACAUGCACCAGAUCGGCGUAGAGAUACGUCCUCCCUUGUGGUUGGUGCACAGGUGGUGCAUGGUUGUCGUCAGCUCGUGUCGUGAGAUGUUGGGUUAAGUCCCGCAACGAGCGCAACCCUUGUCUUAUGUUGCCAGCACAUUUUUGGUGGGGACUCAUGAGAAACUGCCGGGGUCAACUCGGAGGAAGGUGGGGAUGACGUCAAAUCAUCAUGCCCUUUAUACCCAGGGCUUCACACAUGCUACAAUGGUCGGUACAACGGGUUGCGACACUGUGAAGUGAAGCUAAUCUCUUAAAGCCGGCCUCAGUUCGGAUUGGGGUCUGCAACUCGACCCCAUGAAGUCGGAGUCGCUAGUAAUCGCAGAUCAGCAACGCUGCGGUGAAUACGUUCCCGGGCCUUGUACACACCGCCCGUCACGUCAUGAAAGUUGGUAACACCCGAAGCCCAUGGCCUAACCACCGCUUUUGUGGUGGGGGGAGUGGUCGAAG